GAUCUUUUGCUUGCUUGCCAGGUGUGCGUGCAAACGAGCACCUCCGCAGGCCUGGACCGGAUCCUGCCGUGGCUCUUCUACCACAAGGUCAUCGGCGACUUUUUGCUCUUCGUCGAGGGCAAGGCCGCCAAGCCCAGCGUCGUCGGGGUCCUCGAGUCCAUCCCCGGGUAUGAAGGUGGUGUACAUGACCAAGGAGCUUGAGGAGUAGCAGGCCAGCCGAAUCUGGAACGAAACCUGGCUCGCAGGAUUCUUCUACAAGCCUUGCAACCGCAAACUAUUUUUGAAGCAAGCACUCAACAUGGAGAUGGCCAUUGUGAUGGCCCGGGAAUCUGGCAUGGAUUGGAUAAUGCAUCUAGACACCAAUGAGUUGUUAUAUCCCGGUAGUAUUCCAUCAGAUGCCUGUUAGCUGACGUCCCCGAUGAUGUUGACAUGGUUAUUUUUCCUAACUAUGAAAGCAGCGCCGAGCGUGAUGAUAUAGAAGAUCCAUUCAGUGAAGCUGGGUGAGAAGCAGACAAGGGUCACGGUGAACUAUUGCUAGCUUGAGGAGAUGCUCACAUGAAGACAUGGUUGCCGAAGUUUCUACCGUUUCAAGUUGUUUGUUUAUGAGCCAAGACUGAAGAUAUACAAGCUAAUGUUGCCUCUGCUACCAUGUGGCAACGCAACCAUGAAGGGCUUGACGUGUUGGCUGUCAAGAAGCACUAGGUCGACGGCAGGCAAGGCAUCCAGGAAGCCACAGCACGAGAGAGCGAUGACGCUCAAAGGGUGAGGUUGCCAAAUGGUGCGGUGACACUAGCUCGCUAGCCAAGCAGACUACAUUCUGGACUAUUUACACAUCAUGGACUAAAAUUGGACUUCUUUCUGGACUCACAUCUUUUAUAUAAUAUAUACUCAAGUCUGAUAUGCCUUUUAUUUAUUCUAUAAUUAAGUACAAUCUUUUAAGUUGCUGCUGAAGGAAGAAGACAUGGGGUCAGAAAAAUGUUAAGAUUGACUUGAUGUGUGGUAAGGAACAUCCAGUUGAAAAGCUUUUGAUGCUUGAACAUCCACUACUCAAUUAUUCUUUUAGGUAUGCAUAAUCUGCCAAGUUAUAAGCAGUUCCUUUUAUUUGGGCACGCAUAAUGACCGUUCCGCAGCAUCAGGUUCAAAAAAAGUUCUUCAAGGUUAGUAAUUUUCUCCAAAAAAAGUUCUUCAAGGUUAGUAAUUAACUCCCUUCCCAUAUGGAUAUGCAUGAUGGUUGUUCAUUUUUUGGGAUAGCUUACCCAUCUUAUGCCUUGAAAACUGAGCUACCUCCAUGAUUAUGCAUCUGGUCUCAGUAGAUUAUUUUUCCGCCAAAAUACAGUUGUGAAGAGGAGUUCCUGAUUAUAGCUGAAUAUACCAGCCUACUUGCCUACAACCAAGGCAGAAUUAUCAGCAUGUAUGCGAAACAGCCUGCUAGCUGGGUGUGUGCCCCCUGUUUGAGCGAGAGGGAGGACCUUUGCUGGGCAGUCAAAGGAUGUGCUCGGAUAUGGUGGUCCAACUGCAAGAAAAAACGUCAGUCUCAUCCCUGGCCUUCUUCAGUUGAGGAGAUUACUCUACUUUUUAUCACUGUUGGAGGAUUCCUUAUUUUGAGAAGUCAGUAUCACAGCAACGGGCACGCAGCUUGGCCAACUCAUUAUUUCUACCGGCACCAAUUGUUUUUAUUGUUUCUAGCCAAUGUAGAUUGUGGUGAUUGUAUGAAAGAUUUAAUACCUUCCUCACGUGCAUGCUAGCUAGGAAUGUUUGUGGAUGGACGUGAAAUGAACUGUUAAGUACUCUCCUAUUUAGUUUCACCAGGAAUUUAUUGAUAUGGUAAGAAUUAUUAGAUUGGUUUGUGACGAAAUGUUGCUUGAAAAUAAAUUCACGAUAGGUUAGAGUGGGGGCAAAAAUAGUUACAGUGCUCUUGUAGGACGAUGGAUUUUCUCCAUGUAGUCUUGUAGCCUUCAUGGAAGUCAAAUUUUGUAGGUUUGUUUGUACAUUUUUGCUUUGUUUCGGAAACCAGAGUAGUUCACUUUAUCCAUGUGUUUUUUCUUGCUUCUCUGCACUGUACCCUUUGGGAUGAUCAAUAUGCAUUACUCUUUCUCAAAGUUUCUAUUUGGAACUAUAUUUUUUAUUAAACCACUGUCAGAAGGUUUCACAAGAAACCUAAAAACUGUAACAGGUGGUCAUUAUUUUUUUUGCCAUAUGUAAUGAAUGUUUGCCACAAGUUAGGAAACAUAACUGGUUUUUAGUCGUUUAUCAGUUUGUUUUGCUCAUGGGGAUAUAUAAUUAGCUUUACCAGUUUUUUGAUUAUACAAGUUUUUCUCUUCUUUCUCCACAUGUGUGUUUCUACAAUAUGUGUACAUUCAAGCGCCAGAAGGUUUGUUCUCCCACUGUGUGCCACUAAUAUUUCAUUUUUGUGGGUGAGAUUUUUUAACUUCUGGAUGCGCAAUGGUUUGGAUAUGGUGUUGUGCAAUGCUACUGUGUUAUGCUAUGACCAUGAACAUGCUUAUGUGAUGUGGUGCAUCUCUUUUUAUACUUCAACAUUGUUGUUCCCGCUUGCG
Molecule: non-coding RNA, 2555 nt
Organism: Triticum urartu
Lineage: Eukaryota; Viridiplantae; Streptophyta; Magnoliopsida; Poales; Poaceae
Source: RefSeq, a predicted model, not a curated record